CAAACCACAUUCCACAGCAGCAAAACGCAGGAGAAGUGAAUGAGAUAAUAUUGUUUUCAUUUUUCUCUGGGGCUUCUCAGCUUCCCAAGGGAAGAAUCCCGGACAAAGAGAUUUUUCAGAAAAUGUGACAGUGACAUUAGUAUUGUCAGUGGUCUAGAGGAGAGGACUUCCACACUGUAACCUUGGAAAACUGAACUUUCAACUUUUUGACUCAAACUUAUAUGUAUAGUGACAAAGAACAGCACUGGAGGGGAUUAUUCUUGCUGCACUUGCAGGAGAUUAUCACCAGGGAUGGUUCUUCACUCAGUGCCACUUGAGGCAACUAUAUGCAACAAAGGAAAGGUUGCAGAAUAAUCCAAAAAGUCCAGCUCAGAUGUCUGGUAAUGGUAUUCUCUGGUCAAUGUGAAUCACUCAUGGUGCAUUGACUGAUAGGGAGGAAUUUCAACAGCAAUUAAAGGACUGGCAGAGCCACAGCUGUCUAUACACCUGAACAAUCUGUGUAGGUGCCAAAAUCUACGACAGCCUUGCAAAGUUUGAGAGAAGAUAUGGAGGACACUUGUCUUGGUUAUGGAAGAUUAAAUAGCAAACCAUAUGUGCUGGGAGCCCUUGAAUCUUCCAUGUGGCUGAUGGGAUGUAUAUCACACCUUAAAGGAGGACCAAAGGACUGAACAGGCAUAUUGCACCAAUGCAAAGGGUUUAAUUAUGUGCUUGGCUUUUAGAGAUGGCUCAAUAAUAUUUUAUAAAGAGUGCUUUAGCAAGAAAAGCACUUGGUGGUAGCUUUAAUUGGUUUAGAAGUGUAAAUAUUUGAUAGACCAUCUGUUGGUGACACUGCAGCAGAACAAGAGCUGCUCCAUUUUGACUCUCUGUGGAUUCUUGAAGAGCAGAGACACUCAUUUCAGAUACUGAGAGCCAGGAAAAGAUGAAAUUUGAAUCCUAAUCUGUCAUACUUCAAAUUCUAAUCAGAUUUGCAAGGCAAAUGUGCAAUUACUCAAAGUGGGCACAGGGCUUCACAGAUUAUUUUUUCUUUUGGCUCAAGCCUAAUGUGAACAAUUUUAUUGGGAGCUACAGCUGUGAGUAUGCUGUUUGGACAAGUCACACUACUAAACCAAGAAUAUUUGAUAAAAAAAUAAAAGAAAAAAAAAGGAAAAUCAGGUGACCUGAAAAAAAAAUCAGAACUGACAGUAAGACUGUCAGCACGUUUAUUUUUAUUUUGAACUCACCAGAGCAACAUCUCUAUGGGAAAGCUUUUGUAGAAGUCAAAUCUUCAAAACCCACGUGAGAAGGGGCAUUACUAUUUUCAUUUCCAUUGCAAAAAUUCUUAUUUAAAGUGCCUCAAGGAGUUUGGUGACUUACUGCCUUAUAUUUGAACUCUCCAUUCUUGCUUUCCAAACUCAGCAAAAUUCCAGGCUAUCACCUUGAGCUCAGCUUCAGUUUAACAUUGCACCCACUUUGCUGCCUUCAUUUACUCUUAAAUUUCACUCCUCGUGGCCCUUCUUUACCUAAGCACUCAUUUUAGCUUAGUUUAUGUGUGAAUCAGAGACUAUGUGUAACCUAUUUUUUGUGUGUGUGUGCAUGUGAAUUUACAUGAAUCUCAGUGUAUUAUAGGUAUGGAAAGCUGGAAAUUGCAAUGACGCCAUAUAAUUGUACCAACAGUGGU
Passer domesticus (house sparrow) is the source of this 1657-nucleotide long non-coding RNA. RefSeq lists it as uncharacterized. Lineage: Eukaryota; Metazoa; Chordata; Aves; Passeriformes; Passeridae. The transcript has 6 exons. The record is from RefSeq and is a predicted model, not a curated record.